GUUGCCAUUCCCCUUUGAAGUCAUACUUGGAGGUGUUAGGUAGAUAGAAUAGAGAAAAGAAGUCCAAAAUGGCGGUGGCUAAAAGACAAGGAAGGUCUGAGGACCACAGUGAAGACUUCAGGCAGAACAAACAGAACAAACAGCACUCCUGGCUAAGCCCAAUUUGCAUAGGGCAGGCCCAGGUGGAGGAAAAAAAACAUAAAAGGAGGAGCCAAAGCACUUUCUCAUGGACUCUCUCUCCCGUGUGCGUGCGCUCCUUUCUCUCUCUCUCUCUCUCUCUCUCUCUCACUCUCACUCUCCUGCUAUCUUCUAAAUAAAAAUGGAGCUGUAACACUGAUUUGCCUAAGAGCUGUAGCACGGUUUGUCCAAGACCCAAGACCUGUGAUGCGCCGAGGGCUUUAAUGUCCGUCACUCCAAAUCUUUGUUGUGAUGAGACAAAGAACCGAGGAACAUACACUCGCAUGACAGAGACAACAGCCAAUCCCAUCAUGAGAUCAGCAGUGAGAUGACCCCACAAACUGGAUGGAAUAGAGGGAACCCCCACCACCCCACCCCUCCCAGUGGCUGCAGGAAAUCUCCAAGAACUAAAGACUGGCUGACCCUAGAAUAGAAAAGUAAUAAACAUCCCUAUGGAGACUUUCCCCUGGGAGAGGAGGUUCUUCUCUCAUCUUAUUUUAUUGUUUCAUCCUCUGUGAACGUGUUUGUGUAUUGGCCAUUGCAAUGUGAUUCAUUUUUAAUGUGGACUGAACUUCAGUUUGCUCUGAUGUAGAUCCCUGGAAAAUGCUAAAGUCGGGAAUGUUACCUCCUCCUGACAUUGCCUGUGCACUCCUUUGUUUCACUAAUCACCAG
Long non-coding RNA from Bos taurus (domestic cattle), 849 nucleotides. NCBI's taxonomy places the organism in Eukaryota, Metazoa, Chordata, Mammalia, Artiodactyla, Bovidae. The record is from Ensembl.